This 443-nucleotide ribosomal RNA is filed under the name Onthophagus obscurior. RNAcentral's name for it is "partial 16S ribosomal RNA". The record is from RNAcentral. Lineage: Eukaryota; Metazoa; Arthropoda; Insecta; Coleoptera; Scarabaeidae.
CAUGUCUUUUUGAUUAUAAUUUAAAGUCUGACCUGCCCUAUGAUAGUAAUAUUGAAUGGCCGCGAUAAUUUGAUCGUGCAAAGGUAGCAUAAUAAUUAGUUUUUUAAUUGGGAACUGGAAUGAAAGGUCGAACGAGAAAAAGACUGUCUCAAUUUAAAUUUAAUUAGAAUUUUAUUUUUAAGUUAAAAAGCUUAAAUAUUUUUAAAAGACGAGAAGACCCUAUAGAGUUUUAUAUUUAAUAGUUUUUUAUUUAGUUUAAGAAUUUAAUUUUAGAAUUAAUUAUAAAAUAUUUGGUUGGGGUGAUUAAAAAAUUGAAUAAACUUUUUUUAUUAGAAAAACAUUGAUUUAUGAUUAAUUGAUCCAUUAUUAAUGAUUAUAAGAUUAAAUUACCUUAGGGAUAACAGCGUAAUUUUUUUUGAGAGUUCUUAUCGAAAAAAAAGUUU